This 396-nucleotide ribosomal RNA is filed under the name uncultured bacterium. RNAcentral describes it as "partial 16S ribosomal RNA". It matches the Rfam family "Bacterial small subunit ribosomal RNA", at positions 360 to 773 of the family's 1533-position model. The record is from RNAcentral.
AAUAUUGGACAAUGGAGAAAACUCUGAUGCAGCGACGCCGCGUGAAUGACGAAGGAUUUCGGGUCGUAACAUUCUUUCCUUGGGGACGAUAAUGACGGUACCCAAGGAGGAAGCCCCGGCUAACUACGUGCCAGCAGCCGCGGUAAUACGUAGGGGGCGAGCGUUGUCCGGAAUUACUGGGCGUAAAGGGUGCGUAGGCGGCCCUUUAAGUCAGAUGUGAAAGGCCACGGCUUAACCGUGGGAUUGCAUUUGAAACUGGAGGGCUUGGGUGUCGGAGAGGGUGGUGGAAUUCCCAGUGUAGCGGUGAAAUGCGUAGAUAUUGGGAGGAACACCAGUGGCGAAGGCGACUACCUGGACGAUAACUGACGCUGAGGCACGAAAGCUAGGGGAGCAAAC